GAUGAACGCUGGCGGCGUGCCUAAUACAUGCAAGUCGAGCGAACGGACGAGAAGCUUGCUUCUCUGAUGUUAGCGGCGGACGGGUGAGUAACACGUGGAUAACCUACCUAUAAGACUGGGAUAACUUCGGGAAACCGGAGCUAAUACCGGAUAAUAUUUUGAACCGCAUGGUUCAAAAGUGAAAGACGGUCUUGCUGUCGCUUAUAGAUGGAUCCGCGCUGCAUUAGCUAGUUGGUAAGGUAACGGCUUACCAAGGCAACGAUGCAUAGCCGACCUGAGAGGGUGAUCGGCCACACUGGAACUGAGACACGGUCCAGACUCCUACGGGAGGCAGCAGUAGGGAAUCUUCCGCAAUGGGCGAAAGCCUGACGGAGCAACGCCGCGUGAGUGAUGAAGGUCUUCGGAUCGUAAAACUCUGUUAUUAGGGAAGAACAUAUGUGUAAGUAACUGUGCACAUCUUGACGGUACCUAAUCAGAAAGCCACGGCUAACUACGUGCCAGCAGCCGCGGUAAUACGUAGGUGGCAAGCGUUAUCCGGAAUUAUUGGGCGUAAAGCGCGCGUAGGCGGUUUUUUAAGUCUGAUGUGAAAGCCCACGGCUCAACCGUGGAGGGUCAUUGGAAACUGGAAAACUUGAGUGCAGAAGAGGAAAGUGGAAUUCCAUGUGUAGCGGUGAAAUGCGCAGAGAUAUGGAGGAACACCAGUGGCGAAGGCGACUUUCUGGUCUGUAACUGACGCUGAUGUGCGAAAGCGUGGGGAUCAAACAGGAUUAGAUACCCUGGUAGUCCACGCCGUAAACGAUGAGUGCUAAGUGUUAGGGGGUUUCCGCCCCUUAGUGCUGCAGCUAACGCAUUAAGCACUCCGCCUGGGGAGUACGACCGCAAGGUUGAAACUCAAAGGAAUUGACGGGGACCCGCACAAGCGGUGGAGCAUGUGGUUUAAUUCGAAGCAACGCGAAGAACCUUACCAAAUCUUGACAUCCUUUGACAACUCUAGAGAUAGAGCCUUCCCCUUCGGGGGACAAAGUGACAGGUGGUGCAUGGUUGUCGUCAGCUCGUGUCGUGAGAUGUUGGGUUAAGUCCCGCAACGAGCGCAACCCUUAAGCUUAGUUGCCAUCAUUAAGUUGGGCACUCUAAGUUGACUGCCGGUGACAAACCGGAGGAAGGUGGGGAUGACGUCAAAUCAUCAUGCCCCUUAUGAUUUGGGCUACACACGUGCUACAAUGGACAAUACAAAGGGCAGCGAAACCGCAAGGUCAAGCAAAUCCCAUAAAGUUGUUCUCAGUUCGGAUUGUAGUCUGCAACUCGACUACAUGAAGCUGGAAUCGCUAGUAAUCGUAGAUCAGCAUGCUACGGUGAAUACGUUCCCGGGUCU
Molecule: ribosomal RNA, 1372 nt
Filed under: uncultured bacterium
Lineage: Bacteria
Description: bacterial SSU rRNA
Rfam family: Bacterial small subunit ribosomal RNA
Source: RNAcentral